CUCCUGGGAAGUCCUCGUGUUGCAUCAC
This 28-nucleotide ribosomal RNA is filed under the name Festuca ovina. The record is from RNAcentral. Lineage: Eukaryota; Viridiplantae; Streptophyta; Magnoliopsida; Poales; Poaceae.